Molecule: long non-coding RNA, 1483 nt
Organism: Neofelis nebulosa (Clouded leopard)
Lineage: Eukaryota; Metazoa; Chordata; Mammalia; Carnivora; Felidae
Exons: 4
Source: RefSeq, a predicted model, not a curated record
GUUGGUGUGGAAUCUGGAGUUAAAACUCAUUUGGGGGUAGAGAUGGAAAGAUGGACAGUUGGGUUUGAUGAGAUAAGGUUUUCAUUUGAAAUGUUCACCAGCAGAAAGAAGAGACUAGAAAGAGGGAUAUAUGAUUUCCUGUAAGAAUGUGAAUUGGGAAACUAAAUUCUUUCAAAUGAGUUUCCUGAGCAGAUUUUAUAGAACUACUCUCUACCUCUGUCUACACUAUUUGUGUCCUGGGUGACUGACCUUCCCCAGCCAAAUCAUCUGGCUCCCCUGCCCUGUGGCUUCUGGUUGGAUUACACAAAUGGGAGUCACCAGCUGGAGAUCAGAGAGUGAGGUUUCUGGAGCGGUUGUGUUUGAAUGAAUAGCCCAUAGACCCUCUUAGCAAGAGUGAGAUGGAAGGGGUGGUGAGACCAUAAUAAAUCUAGGAGCUGAAGAUUUGAGUAAAGGACAAAGAAGAAAGGACAAUACAGAGAAGAGGUUAUGAGGAUGGGACUUGGAGAAAGACUGCCUGAGUUCACAUCCUGACUUCUUUCUGUGCCUGUGUCCUUCAGUUUAAUGAAGACAAUAAACCUCAGAGGACUGUAUUAAUGUGAUACAUACUUGGUAGUGAUCUUUAACUAAUGUGUGAUAAACACUAAAUGAACACUUGCUAGUAUUAGCAAUUAUUAUUUUAAAGGUUGUUACUAAAAAGUUCUUAGGAUUAUAUCAGAAAGUAGAUCGGGAAGCAUGGGCUUCAUUUUUGUGAUAAAUGUGAAUUACUAGAAACUGAUAUGCCUAAAGCUGAAGGCUGUGUAGGUAUAUGUAUAAAUUUCCUCUAUAAAUGCUAUUCUGCUUGGAAAAAUUUGUAUGUUCCCAUGUGUAUCUAGUGUGUUAUUACUCUUGCUCUUUUAGGGUCUAAAGUGUACCGUAGGGUAGGAAAUUAGAUUUGGAAGGGACCUCAGAGAAAAUCUUUUUUAUCCCUUGUACUUUUUAGGAGACAUGCUUGUGAUAAGGUACCCAGUUAGAGAAGAAGGAAGAGAUGAAGACCUGGAAUUUAUAUUAAGGCAUAUAUAACUUGGGAACAUUUUGUAUCUUUCAAAUAGAUAGAAUGGUUAGAAAUUCAUCUUUGUAUUCAUGUCAUAAAUGCAUUUCAUAUGCUUGAAACUUUAACAUUAACACAUCUCAGUGUAUUAGGGAAGUGUAUCUUUAGUUCAAAAUACCAUAACUCUUCCUGACCAUGGAUAUUUAUUACAAUAGAAUCUUUGAAGCCUUUAAAAAUAACCUUUUCAAAUAGGUAAAUAUCUUUGCCCAUAAACAUUUAUGUCAUCACUUUGUAGAUGUUUUAAGCCACUCUUAUUCUUUUUUUUAAGUGUUAACAAUUACCAGUGCUUCAUUCUCUGGGAAUGGGGAGGGAAUAAAACAACCAAAAAGACAUUUGUGUAAGGUCACUUUCUUAAAUGAAGAAAACUCCAAAAUAUAAUAUUUACGAGCUGUCAAA